Molecule: non-coding RNA, 145 nt
Organism: Gossypium arboreum
Lineage: Eukaryota; Viridiplantae; Streptophyta; Magnoliopsida; Malvales; Malvaceae
Source: Rfam
UGUUAAAAAUUUCAUUCAUUUGUACUGUUAAAAACUAAUAUGACUGACAGAAUAACCAGACAAUGACAUAUGACAUGUCGUGUGUACCUUAUGCUGAUGUAUGAGAACCAGUUUGUAACAAUAAAAAUUGAUGAAAUUUUUAAUA